GAUGAACGCUGGCGGCGUGCCUAAUACAUGCAAGUCGAGCGAACAGACGAGGAGCUUGCUCCUCUGAUGUUAGCGGCGGACGGGUGAGUAACACGUGGAUAACCUACCUAUAAGACUGGGAUAACUUCGGGAAACCGGAGCUAAUACCGGAUAAUAUAUUGAACCGCAUGGUUCAAUAGUGAAAGACGGUUUUGCUGUCACUUAUAGAUGGAUCCGCGCCGCAUUAGCUAGUUGGUAAGGUAACGGCUUACCAAGGCGACGAUGCGUAGCCGACCUGAGAGGGUGAUCGGCCACACUGGAACUGAGACACGGUCCAGACUCCUACGGGAGGCAGCAGUAGGGAAUCUUCCGCAAUGGGCGAAAGCCUGACGGAGCAACGCCGCGUGAGUGAUGAAGGUCUUCGGAUCGUAAAACUCUGUUAUUAGGGAAGAAAAAAUGUGUAAGUAACUAUGCACGUCUUGACGGUACCUAAUCAGAAAGCCACGGCUAACUACGUG
RNAcentral lists this ribosomal RNA (497 nucleotides) under uncultured bacterium. Its description in RNAcentral is "partial 16S ribosomal RNA". It matches the Rfam family "Bacterial small subunit ribosomal RNA", at positions 28 to 507 of the family's 1533-position model. The record is from RNAcentral.